Myotis davidii is the source of this 618-nucleotide long non-coding RNA. RefSeq lists it as uncharacterized. The transcript is spliced from 3 exons. Lineage: Eukaryota; Metazoa; Chordata; Mammalia; Chiroptera; Vespertilionidae. The record is from RefSeq and is a predicted model, not a curated record.
AGAUGCUCUGAAAAGAUGGAUGUCAAACACCAGGGUGACCCAGUACCGAGCUCUUCUCCUGGACCAGCCCCGCAUCUGAUUCCAUAAGACAUUGGCCAUCAACCCUGCCAGCCUGCUCCCAGACGAUGAUCCAGAGGAGCCAUCCAUGACCGCAUAGAGGUAACAGACGCAGCUUGCCCAGAUUUGACAGAUGUCCCAUUAUCAUCACCAAACAAGGUACUGUUAUGUACAAAAUGGGACAGUGGGAGGUGGUAGUCAGCCUAGACUGCGCAAGGAAACUGAGCUGCAGACCAAGCUGCCAAGGAAGCCACCCCAAAACCAGUGGGGCCUUUAUAAGAGAAUGUAUUGGCAGAACAGAAGGACCAGAGGACCAAAUGGUUGGUGGACUCUACCAGAUGGCAGACUGUUGGUCCCAGAGGCUCUAGGUCAGAUUUUAGUUGCCCAGUUACACCAGGCUACCCACAUAGGUGUCACCAAGACUUCUGAACAUUUGUGAGGCAGGUCACAGGUAAAUGCAAGGUAAGGGGGGUCCCCCUGGGAAUUCAGGCCCUGGGAAACUCCCCAGGAGAACAUUGGGAGGUAGAUUUCACAGAGAUUAAGCCACCGGCAUCAGGGUAU